RNAcentral lists this long non-coding RNA (268 nucleotides) under Ananas comosus (pineapple). RNAcentral describes it as "long non-coding RNA (ACOM_LNC042160)". Lineage: Eukaryota; Viridiplantae; Streptophyta; Magnoliopsida; Poales; Bromeliaceae. The record is from RNAcentral.
CUUGGGAGCUCGAGGAAUCAAUGCGGAAAGAGUAUCCGUAUUUAUUUGAGUCGACAAGUUAAGGUAUGCGUAAUUUCGCGAAUGAAAUUAUUUUAAGGGGUGGAGAAUGUAAUAUACCGAGAGAUCGGGAAAUAAAUAUCGAACUUUAAUCAAAUUGACCAAAGUGCAGGAUGGUACCCUUCGGAAAGUCCGAAGGUGUUAAAAUGAGUAAAAGUGCGUUUAAAGGGAUCUUCGAGAGCUAACGAAACAAAAAAUCUGCAAACUGCAG